Molecule: ribosomal RNA, 516 nt
Filed under: Triticum aestivum (bread wheat)
Lineage: Eukaryota; Viridiplantae; Streptophyta; Magnoliopsida; Poales; Poaceae
Description: partial small subunit ribosomal RNA
Source: RNAcentral
AUGAUUGACGACGGAGCAUGUUUUGAGAGAGAAUAUGUCCUCUUUGAACAUAUGGGGAUGCUCUGUCGUCAUGUUCUGAAGGUCAUGGAUAAUAUUGGGAUGAAAGAAAAUACAAAGAGACACAUAGUGAAAAGGCGGACAAAAUAUCCAAGAGAUAUUUUGCCAGAUCACUUGAAGCACUACCGGCUGGACCAGAUCAACAACACAUCCCUAACUUUUCGGCACAACCGGAUGUACAUUAGGGCGUUGGAACUGGUUCGACUUGGAGACGCAAGUGUUGAGGCAUAUCAAACUCUGAUGGGGCUUUUAGACCAGGCCAUGCCGGUGAUGGACCCUUUUGACAAAUGUCGUGACAGGCUAGGGCUUGGAAGACCGUGGAUAACAACAAUGUGGCAGAUACCGACGGGGAGUGAGCUGGGAGAAGUGUGUGAAGACGACAGAAUGUCAUGCAGCAUGAAGUUUUGGAUUAGUGGCACCAAGCAAGAACGGAAACGCUGGCAGAUCAGCAAUGCCUGA